UACGGGGGGGGCAAGCGUUGUUCGGAAUUACUGGGCGUAAAGGGCUCGUAGGCGGCCAACUAAGUCAGAUGUGAAAUCCCCAGGCUUAACCUGGGAACUGCAUCUGAUACUGGAUGGCUUGAAUCCGGGAGAGGGAUGUGGAAUUCCAGGUGUAGCGGUGAAAUGCGUAGAUAUCUGGAGGAACACCGGUGGCGAAGGCGGCAUCCUGGACCGACACUGACGCUGAGGCGCGAAAGCUAGGGUAGCAAACGGG
Molecule: ribosomal RNA, 253 nt
Filed under: uncultured bacterium
Lineage: Bacteria
Description: partial 16S ribosomal RNA
Rfam family: Bacterial small subunit ribosomal RNA
Source: RNAcentral